AUACUUACCUGGAUGGGGUCUAUGGGUGAUCAUAAAGGCCCAUGGCCUAAGUUGGUAACCUCCAUUGCACACUGGAGGGGUGCCCGCUUAAGGUCUCCCUAGAUGGGAGAGCCUACAUCGCCC
Small nuclear RNA from Vigna angularis (adzuki bean), 123 nucleotides. It matches the Rfam family "U1 spliceosomal RNA". Rfam says of the family: U1 is a small nuclear RNA (snRNA) component of the spliceosome (involved in pre-mRNA splicing). Its 5' end forms complementary base pairs with the 5' splice junction, thus defining the 5' donor site of an intron. NCBI's taxonomy places the organism in Eukaryota, Viridiplantae, Streptophyta, Magnoliopsida, Fabales, Fabaceae. The record is from Rfam.